UUGGAGGGCAAGUCUGGUGCCAGCAGCCGCGGUAAUUCCAGCUCCAAUAGCGUAUAUUAAAGUUGUUGCAGUUAAAAAGCUCGUAGUUGAAUUUCGGGGUCAGUAGGUCGGUCGUGCCACUGGUAUGAACUGGUUUUACUGAUUUCUCCCUCUUGAAGAACUGUAAUGCCAUUAAUUUGGUGUUGCAGGGAAUCAGGACUGUUACUUUGAAAAAAUUAGAGUGUUUAAAGCAGGCUUUAGCUUGAAUACAUUAGCAUGGAAUAAUGAAAUAGGACGUUUGAUCCUAUUUUGUUGGUUUCUAGGAUUGACGUAAUGAUUAAUAGGGAUAGUUGGGGGCAUUAGUAUUCAAUUGUCAGAGGUGAAAUUCUUGGAUUUAUUGAAGACUAACUACUGCGAAAGCAUUUGCCAAGGAUGUUUUCAUUAAUCAAGAACGAAAGUUAGGGGAUCGAAGACGAUCAGAUACCGUCGUAGUCUUAACCAUAAACUAUGCCGACUAGGGAUCGGAUGAUGUUAAUUUUUUAAUGACUCAUUCGGCGCCUUACGGGAAAC
RNAcentral lists this ribosomal RNA (549 nucleotides) under uncultured Glomeromycotina. RNAcentral describes it as "SSU rRNA". It matches the Rfam family "Eukaryotic small subunit ribosomal RNA", at positions 548 to 1098 of the family's 1831-position model. The record is from RNAcentral. Lineage: Eukaryota; Fungi; Glomeromycota.